UAUAUUCCGUUCAGUCGUAAAUUGAGAGCGAAGCAUAUCACGUACAAAAAUUAAAAUAAAAUAAAUAAAUACUAAUAAUAAAUUAUAAAUAAAAUACAAUUUUUUGAGCAACCAUAAAGUGAACUUACAAGAACAAGCGAAGAUGGGAAACGAAGCAUCAAAAGUUCUAAUUGCAAAUAAAGGUUUAAAAGUUAACGCUAAUGCACCGAAUUCUCACUCUGGUGGAAGUGAAAUAAAUUUACAAGAGGUAAUUCAAACUGUCGCUAAUGAUCCGAAUGUUGAUGCCGCUGAAGCAAGUGAAAUAAAUGUAGAAACGGCAAUGCAAGAUAUAUUAGAUUGUUCGCGUCAAGAUGAAGCCCAAGAAUCAUAUUUAUCGGCAGCAGUCCCAUUUACUAUUCGUCAAUACCGCGAUGUUGGCACACAAACAGAGGUAAUAAGAACCUCUUGUAAGCGUGCUAAACGUUUCAUUCCUGAUGGUGUCGAUGCAAAGCGUCCAACGCGUUUUAAGUGAAUUUUUCAUUUUGUUGAAAACUAAAGACACAGUUAAUUUCAUAUUUAAAAUUAAUUUCAAAAAACGUUUAUAGCUAUUCAGCUUAUUAUUCAAAUGGGUAAAAAUUAAAUAAUUAGCAGUUUGAACAGAAAAUUCUAUUAAAGAGAAAAUUUCAGAGUUGAUGUCCAUCUUUUAUUUAUUUAUGUAAUAAAAACACAGAUCCAAAAAAAAAUAUUAUAAGCGUUUACAUAUGUUUAGGAUGUCAAGCAAUCACUUCUUAUUUUAAUCUUAACAAUUAGGAUCAAAAGUAAGUCUAAUAUCAAAUUAAGCGCAAUCUUGUGCACACAAAUGAUUAUGAUGUCGAGGAACUUUAAGGCAAUUGUUAAUUAAAUAGAUGCUUGACUUAAAAAUCAAAAAUAUUACAAAAUCAUAAAAUCAAAUAAGCUCCAAACAAUCUUAGAGGAUUCAAUAACGAGAAUAAAUCAAAUGAAAAUUGAUUUAUUUUUUAAAGGGUUCUAAAGCACAUUUCGUUAAUUUCAACUUGAAAUGUUAAUUCUGAAAUGAAAUAAAAUUUUAAAGCAAAAAGCAAAACAGAAA
Molecule: long non-coding RNA, 1087 nt
Organism: Drosophila nasuta
Lineage: Eukaryota; Metazoa; Arthropoda; Insecta; Diptera; Drosophilidae
Exons: 5
Source: RefSeq, a predicted model, not a curated record